This 1218-nucleotide ribosomal RNA is filed under the name Triticum aestivum (bread wheat). Its description in RNAcentral is "partial small subunit ribosomal RNA". Lineage: Eukaryota; Viridiplantae; Streptophyta; Magnoliopsida; Poales; Poaceae. The record is from RNAcentral.
GUUAGUUCUGUGUUGUUACGGUGUUUAGAAAAGUACAGAUUUCUUAAAAGGCACUGAUAGGCGCCGGUGCGCCGGCCUAAAUUUGGGCCGGUCGCACGGCAGCCGCACGAUUAGCGCGUCAUCGACCGUCUAUCUUGCCAGCUGGCCCACGCCCUUCGUUGACUUCGUCUUUCACCACCGCGAUCCCUCUCUGCGAGUAGUUUCCUGCCCCGCCGACCACCCCGCCGGCUGCAAACCUCGAAGCAGGUCGCGCCUCACGCGACCCCUCCCCCCGCAGCGCAGUUAGGCGCCUCCCCCUCGUCGCCGGUCGUCGCCCGGCUCCAGCGGGACGCCGUCGCUCCCUCCCCCCAGCGUCCGCCGUCGACAAUGGGGAGGACGGCGUGGUUCGCAUCCAAAACAAUGGUUGUAGCAAAAAAAUGCGCUGCUUCCAGCAAACUUAAAAACGCUCGUAUCAAAAAUUGGAAAAAUGAACGUUGUUGAAGCAAAAAUCAAAGAUGCCGGUUGUAGAAAAAAUAAAGCUCGUUCCAGCAAAUCUAAAGGCAUGUGGUAGCAAAAAUGCAAAAUUUUGGCGUUGUACCAACAAAACCAAAUAAAACGAUGGUAGCAAAAAAUGUUGAUUGUUCCAGCAAAAAAAUAUUAUGAUGGUAGCAAAAAGAGUAAAUUGGGCAUGAUUCCAACAAAACCAAAAAAAAUGAUGGUAGCAAAAAAUGUUGAUGGUUCCAGCAAAUACAUAUUACGGUGGUAGCAAAAAACUGAAAAUUGGACGAUGAUGGUUCCAUCAAAUCAAAACGCCUGUAGUAGCACAAUUAGGCGCUGGUUCGAACAUCUUGUCGUCGUGGUUGUAGCACUUGUCGGGGCACGGCCAUCCACCCCGUUGCUUGCCCGUGGUCGUGGUCACCCACCCGUCGCAACUCCUCUGUCCACCGGUUGUAGCUCCCAGCGAGACCGGUUGCAGCUGUUCCCGUCCACCAGAUGCAGAUCCCCGGCGUGCUUCCUCCUCCGCCCAGCGCCGACCCGUGGUCCAUCACACGGGGGCGUCGGGGGGCAGGAAGGGAAGGGCCGACGAGCAGAGGUGAAGAGAGAUGAAGAGAGGAGCAGGGGAUGCCUCGCCGGUGGGGGCCUCGCCGGAGAAACCGCGGCGCUGGUCGAAGCCAGGCGCAUGGAUGGAGAGAGGCGAGUGGGUAUGGAUAUGUGCGAGAGAUGCUGAGGAGAGAGGCG